This 1885-nucleotide long non-coding RNA is filed under the name Sorghum bicolor (sorghum). Its description in RNAcentral is "long non-coding RNA (SBIC_LNC013020)". The record is from RNAcentral. Lineage: Eukaryota; Viridiplantae; Streptophyta; Magnoliopsida; Poales; Poaceae.
AGGCCCGUAACGGCAAAAAUCGUCUAUUCCGUUCAGUUUCUUUCUCCCGAGUGCUAAAAUUUUUUAUUUUAGUCGGCGCGGUGUCCACUAGCAAAGCACCAAUAAUUUGUAAUGGUAUUGGACAAAGAAGCGCCAUUGUGGUGCAAUUUGAUGUUUUUGCUGUGUCCUACAGCAAAAUUUGUAAUGUCUUGCCAAAAUAACAGCAGAGCACCUGCAACUGCAACUCCGCAAAGAACACAGGACAGUCAUAUCGCACAGGAAUUUAAGCUGAAGAAGGAGGUGAAGAUUGCAGAUAAUAAUAUACUACUAGUCUCCACGCUGUUGACAGUGCAGAAAGCCAGUUCAGCACACCCUCAUGCAUGGUGGACCUCGUUAUUGUCGCACUAGUUACAGGAAGGGCUUUAGCCUCGGGCCGUAAGCGUCUUUAGGGGGCUAAGGUGCUAAGGUUUCGGGAUGUCCCACCUUUAGUUCCGGUUCCGUGGACCGAGACUAAAGGUCCUUUAGUCCCGGUUGAUAACAACAACUGGAACUAAAAGGUGCGCCAGGGUGUGCCAUCUGGCCUCCACUUUUAGUCCCGGUUGUUGCUACCAACCGGGAGUAAAGACUUUUUUCUUUUUUUUUUCUUUUCAUUUGGUUUUCCAUUUAGGUUUACAAUUAUGUUAUUGUUAUUUUCGAAUGCGUAUUGUUUGCUGGUAGUUUAAGGAACGCGCACCUAUAAUUUAUAUAAUUUAAAGGAUUACAUAUAAAUAUACUAUAAAACACUAUAUAUAUAAAUAAUAUGUAUCUAUAGGUCCAUAAUAUAAUAUAUACACAUAUGCUUCACGGACAAAGUAUUUACAACACAAUUUAUCUCCGCCACUCAAGCAUGGUACAAAUGAUCAUCGUUAUUUGGUUUCAUCUGCUCCUGAGGGUUGAAGUAGCACUUGCCGCCGGGAUCCAGGACUUGGUCGUUAAAAAAUCAUGCGAUUGUCUCCUAAAUUCCUUUUAGGCGCACUGCAUCCAACACCUGCUCCUUCAGCCACAUCUCCUUUAAUAGACAUUAAAGAAAAAAGUUAGAGGUAUGAAUAGGAUUUAUUAAAUAGCAACAAAUAAAUGAAAUAAACUUAUUAUAUAUACAUGUUACAUACUUUUAGGUGCUCAAGAUUAAUUCUUUUGGCAUACACCGUCAUAAACUCGCACACAUAGUAGCCACGCAAAUUGUUGCCCGGUGUCUGCCGUAGAACCCACUGAAGUAAGAUGGGCUUUGAAAGUGCUGCAUUCAACUCUGGACGGUGUUUCGGCACGAACCCAGCCCAAACCCUAACAACAAAACGAUCAUUAUUAAUUAUCCAUUACCAAGUUAAAAGAGCAGAAUUUAAUAUAUAGAGAUCGGAGUUACCCUUGGAUAAUAUCUAUCAUUUCUUGGUAAUCGUCCUGUGGUUUUCUCAAUGAGUCAUAGAUUACCAAUUGACAUUGCCAGAGAUCAAUGACAAUUAGUAUCCAAUGAAAGCUGCAUUUGUGUGCAUAUGUAGGCAAAAUUAAUAUAUAUUUUCAUAUUGAUCUGAUUAAUUAGUUAAAUAGAAUGUACACACGAUAACGACACUUACUUAAAGUUGUAGGGAAAAAGUAUAUAUCUUUUAUCUUUUUGGUUGAUCAAGAACCUCCGUAGAUUUCUCUCCGUUUGAGUUCUCCAUAAAACAUACGGGGUCUUGUGGUCUUUGAAUGCAACAUUUGGAUCCACAAAUCCAAUCUCCUUGUCAUUUCUAACUCUGAGGUCCCUCAUCAUGUUUCUGCAUAUGUAUAGCGGGUUUCUGUAAUUAGUUAUAUAUAUACAUGAUAAGUUACAGAGACAUUAUUGAAAGGAAGAAUCACUUACAGACAGAAGCAACUCAUUAGAGAUUUGUCA